UAAACAUAGACAGUCCACAUACCCCACUGUCCGCCCGGGGACUACGAGCAUUAGCUUAAAACCCAAAGGACUUGGCGGUGCUUUAUACCCACCUAGAGGAGCCUGUUCUAGAACCGAUAACCCCCGUUCAACCUCACCCUUCCUUGUUCUUCCCGCCUAUAUACCGCCGUCGUCAGUUUACCCUGUGAAGGCCUAAUAGUAAGCAAAAUCGGCAUAGCCCAAAACGUCAGGUCGAGGUGUAGCGUAUGGAAGGGGAAGAAAUGGGCUACAUUCCCUAUCAUAGGGUAUACGGAUGAUUAUGCUGAAACGCAUGUCUGAAGGAGGAUUUAGCAGUAAGCAGAAAGUAGAGUGUUCUGCUGAAGCCGGC
This 367-nucleotide ribosomal RNA is filed under the name Pomacanthus sexstriatus (sixbar angelfish). RNAcentral's name for it is "partial 12S ribosomal RNA". It matches the Rfam family "Bacterial small subunit ribosomal RNA", at positions 801 to 1372 of the family's 1533-position model. Lineage: Eukaryota; Metazoa; Chordata; Actinopteri; Pomacanthidae. The record is from RNAcentral.